This 432-nucleotide ribosomal RNA is filed under the name uncultured bacterium. Its description in RNAcentral is "partial 16S ribosomal RNA". It matches the Rfam family "Bacterial small subunit ribosomal RNA", at positions 29 to 507 of the family's 1533-position model. The record is from RNAcentral.
AGCGAACGCUGGCGGCAGGCCUAACACAUGCAAGUCGAACGAACUCUUCGGAGUUAGUGGCGGACGGGUGAGUAACACGUGGGAACGUGCCUUUUGGUUCGGAAUAACUCAGGGAAACUUGUGCUAAUACCGAAUGUGCCCUUCGGGGGAAGAUUUAUCGCCAUUAGAGCGGCCCGCGUCUGAUUAGCUAGUUGGUGAGGUAACGGCUCACCAAGGCGACGAUCAGUAGCUGGUCUGAGAGGAUGACCAGCCACACUGGGACUGAGACACGGCCCAGACUCCUGCGGGAGGCAGCAGUGGGGAAUCUUGCGCAAUGGGCGAAAGCCUGACGCAGCCAUGCCGCGUGAAUGAUGAAGGUCUUAGGAUUGUAAAAUUCUUUCACCGGGGACGAUAAUGACGGUACCCGGAGAAGAAGCCCCGGCUAACUUCGUG